UUUUCCUUGCCACACACACCUCCUCUUCUCGUUCCUCGUUUCUUUCUAGCCUACUUUCGUAGGUGACCGCGUCGCUCAGCUCGUCGGCGACGAUUUGCUCCACGAGUGCGUGUUCGUGGAUUGGAGAUGAUGCGCAUACCUGAGAUUAUGAGGACGCGGUGGUCAAGAAGGAGUUGGACCUUGCAAACGUGGGUGAGCUGGUGGUUUGAUCGAACAGGACUUAGCCGGCGACGGGAAGUGACCACCUAGGAGAGAGGUAACCACUGUUGUCGUGCUGCGUUGGCGUGUUGCUAAUCUCUCUCCCGUUUUCGUCAUCGCAGAUCCAACGUCGCCUUUGUCUCACUCUCACAACUAGGAUUCGUGAACAAAGGAAGGAGUGCGCCGUCCAUUGGCGAGGAGCAGACGACGAACGCCGCGGUAGCUUCUUCCAGCGCAACGACCUCUUCCCUCCCUUCUACUCAAAUUAAGAGAGGGGAAGGUGACGUUGGGCAAAUUAGAGCCUGACAGAAGGUUCGUUAGCGUCGUGCUUGUCAUCUCGUCGAGCCCCUCCUUCAGUGCUUGAUCAAAUCACGCGGGUUUGCGGUCUGCUCGACGGAAUUCGCCACAGGAGUAGGAAGGGGAAAGAAGAAAAGGAUAAGAAGAAGCCAUCGCCGGGGGACGGGGGAGAGGUUUGAUGUAGACGGGGAGGACGACGCAAUGGCAGUGGAUAAGGGGAGGGGAUGUGCCUGUAUGCGUGCACCGCAGAGCGUGGCGGCCGACCAUCACGGGCGGAGCCGCUGCCGCCUCUCUUCUCCUCUUCUCGAAGAGGAACUGAGAUUAGACUAGAGCUACUCCCGCUGUUGUUACCUCCUUACUCUUGAUGAUUACACCUUGAUUAAAGACUGAUCACCCGGUAAUAGGAUGAUGCUAUGUUUUCCUCUUAAUCUUUUAGUCCGUUCCAACUGUGAGCUCUCACAUAAACGAGUAGAUUCUUCUUUCCAAUCAGAUGGAUCAGUGUCACUUCGGGUUCAUCAAGCUGAUCAUGCUCAUCUAUCAUCCGCUCUUUGUUGCUGAGCUUGAAAUAUACUCAACAUGAUACACGUCAGCUGCCUCCAGUUCAAGAACUACAAGAUGCAAGAAGAACUGAAAUCAUGCUUGGAGCAAACUUUGAUCAAUGAUGUAGUGCCAGCCUUUACAUUAAAUUUCCGCUGCAGCUGAAACAGAAGAGUGCUGGAACGGAGAACAACUUCACCUCAUGUUCACACUGUCAGCUAGCUUUAGUAGAAAUAUCUGAAGGUUCUGUGAUAAUUUUGUCAUCCUUUGCAAGCUACAAAAUGAAGCAGAUGAUAUUGAAUAUUUCGGAGAAGCUGCUGCAUUGGCUAUUUGACUAGCCUUCGAAGUAAAUACUCAAUACUUUUGCAAUCGGCUUUGUGGCGCCUUCAUUCUUGGAUGUUGCUGGCAAGGAUUGGAAAUCUUGUUCUCCUGAGAAACGGAAGAAUGGCAGGCACAUCCUCUUUUGAGGAUUUGAUGGGCAAUCAAAAGAAGGGAACCUACUUUUUAAUACUCUUGGGCAAGGCACUCUCUAAGAUUAACCCUAUUACAUCGUCUUGGCUUCCAGAAGGCGACAAAAUAUUGUCUGGCAUUACUAUUUAUUUUAUGAUUUUGUGAAAAGAUGUCUUUUUGUGCCAUUUGCGGAUUGUUUGAUAAUUCUUGGUCUCAUGUAGUGUUGGAACUCACUGACAUUGUACCAGUUUUUUUUUAAUCUUCACCCUGUCUCUACUUAGUUGCUUGAUGUGAAUUUUGCGACGAUCACUCCAACAUGUAAGGUCUUUUUGAAGGACUUAGUGUUGAUUACCAUUUGUCU
Lolium rigidum is the source of this 1843-nucleotide long non-coding RNA. RefSeq lists it as uncharacterized. NCBI's taxonomy places the organism in Eukaryota, Viridiplantae, Streptophyta, Magnoliopsida, Poales, Poaceae. The record is from RefSeq and is a predicted model, not a curated record. The transcript has 5 exons.